UCGGCCGGCGGUGGCGGUGGUACUUCUCUGCGCACGUUCGCCUUUCCUGGGGGUGGACAUUUCUGUGUCCACUGCGGGACCCGGCCCCGUCUCUGCUGGACGGCCGGGGCUGGGUCCAAGGGCGGGGUCCAGCCUGGGUGGAGGCCCCUGGGGCAGGGCGGGGCGCCCCCGACCCCCGGAACGCUGGGGCCCGGCGGAGCCCAGGCUGGGGAAAGGACCGGUGUGGGUGCGGCGUGAAUGCAGCCUGGCUUCCGUGGGCUCGGAGCGGAGCAGGGCCGCGUGCGGAGGGGCAGCGUCGCGAAUGGGCUGCGAGGUGGAGCCAGGUCCCGUUUCCUUGGGAACCACAAAGACGGGAGAGAUGUGGGUGGUUGUGUCCGGAGACCCCUUAUCUGCGCCUCCGCACCUGGUGGGAAAUGCAGCCCGCUUCCCGGGUGUCCAAGGGAAUCAGAUCGUCCAGGCGAGAGAGGGACGCUUCCUUCUUAACGGGCAGAGUGUCCGGCGAGUUAGAAAGGGGGGGAUGGCUCCAGCCGGAGAAAGGUUUCCUGCUAAUUUUGCAGUUGGCUUUACUGCCUCUGUCCUCUCCGGCCUCUGAAUGUCGGGGCAGGGACUUAUUUUUCUCGGUUGAUUUUUCCUACCGCUCGUAUCCAGGGCACUGAGACGUUGUGCUCGCUGGGCGCCAGCCUUGGGCUCCAGUCCUGGCCCCAAGCCUUAAUGGGUUCUCCGAUGAUACCACGCAAUUUGUCGAGCCCUUCAGAGCCUCAGAUUCCACAUCUGUGAAAUGAAAGUACAUGACGAUGCUGUUAAAGAGACAGCAGGACCAAAACGGAGUCACUUGUGCCAAGCCCAUGUCACCAAACAGAGGAGUAACAGCUGACCAAACUGCAGUUCAGCCUCUCCCAGGAACAUAAGCUCCGCCAGGCAGCUGAUGGACCCCUUGUGUCCCUGAAAGGUGACCUCGCCUGAAACCAGUCCACUCUGCUAAUACCUCCUUGUGUCUCUCUCCCUCUGUCUAUGAAAACCUUCCAUUUUGUACAGCUCUCCGGAGCUCCUUUCUGUUUGCUAAGGUGACAUGUUGCCCCAUUCAUGAGUCAUUAAAUAAAGCCAAUAAGAUCUUUAAAACUUA
Leptonychotes weddellii (Weddell seal) is the source of this 1123-nucleotide non-coding RNA. NCBI's taxonomy places the organism in Eukaryota, Metazoa, Chordata, Mammalia, Carnivora, Phocidae. The record is from RefSeq and is a predicted model, not a curated record.